Camellia sinensis is the source of this 687-nucleotide non-coding RNA. NCBI's taxonomy places the organism in Eukaryota, Viridiplantae, Streptophyta, Magnoliopsida, Ericales, Theaceae. The record is from RefSeq and is a predicted model, not a curated record.
UCAAAUAACGGGGAAAAUAGAUGGUAUAUUGGCUUGAGGUAAUGCUUAUCAAUGUUGGCUUAUAAUCUCUGUGAAUCAAGGAACCCCUUUGUAGAAUAUGCAGUGCAAUAUGCUGUAGCAGCAGCCCUUGCGACAUUGGAAAAGGAUAAGAACGAUUUGUUACACAAACUACUUUUACAAGGUCUUGACAUUACAAUCUUAGGUUGCAAUGACUUCUAUUCAUAUUGGAAUCAGGUGGGGUUUAUCAUGUGAGAUUGGAAAAGGGAAAGUUGGCAGUGGUUUUGAUGUUAGUUCUGCAGUUUAUGGUAAGUCAACGAUAUGUUCGCUUUUCACCAGAAUUGCUUUCUUCUGCUCAGGAUGCUGUUUUUUUUGAAUGAAUAAAAUUGCAGGAUGUAAUUAAAGGAAAAGCGAGAAGUCAUUGGUGAUGUGCUGAAUGGCAAAUGGGACCAUAAGAGGACUACAUAUUGAAUCCCUUAGUAGUUGGUAUUGUUUUUUUCCUUAAGAGCACUACUAAAAAAUUGACUUUUUGCAUCUUUCUUUUUUUUUUCUUUUUUCUUUUUUUUCAUUUUUGCGACUGUCUGUUUUGCCGUGGCAAAAAAUAUAUUUGCGACAGCAUUAUGAGACGCAAGUCAGGGGUGGUAAAAGGUCCAGUUUAUGAGUGGGCUUUAUAUUUGCCCCCAUUUAUUU